ACAUGAGGGGGGAAAAGUCCCUCCUGUAAGCCGUGUAUCUUCUGAAUCACUGGUUCCUGUCACUGCCUAACAAGGAACCCCUGCUAAGCAGGAGGGGAAUUCUGUGAUAACCGAUUAAUCUUGAUAAUUGCCUGGGGGAUUUUACUGUGCUCUAAUUUCAACUUCCAUGCAAAUUACUUUCCUGAUCUAUUACGAGGUGGCACCACGUUGAAACUGUGACUUGCUGUGUAAAGGCAGAGAACAGGACACGGAAAGUCCCUCCGAAUUUGAACUUUCCAGAAUGAAUCAGCUGUGACGUUCCUUUUGCUUUCGUGCAUUCAGGAGCAGCUGUUUUGGCUGGGAGGGCGCCCGUUUGCUGAAUGGAAGGGAUGAACUUGCCUCUUGGAUACUUGGCUCCAAAUCCAGCCCACUGCCAUCACCCUGGACUGCGUUCCAGGGAAGAAAUUGAGAUGGUACACCCUUAACCUCAGUAAAUGGUCUCAGAUAUCUUGGCAUCCACGAGGAUAGCUUGUUUAAAUAUUCAUGAUAUAUACACCCUUAUUAGAGUGUCGCUCAAGAUUUUGAAAGAGUGUGUGUGUGUGAGAGAGAAAGAGUUGUGGCUAAGAAAGCCCAAAGCUAUGAAAGUGCCUCAAAGGACUGUUUGCUGUUAUCAUACUUUUAGUUUUAUCACCCUGGUAGAGCACUUCAGUGCACAGGAAGGAAAUGUGACACAGCUGACUUUAGGCAGACAUGAUCCCAUUCCUCGUGCGUGGAGAUUAGAAGUGGAACCAGGCCUUUCAUGAAGACCAGUCAAUUUGACAGCUCCUGUUUCAUAAUGAUUGGCAAGGGUCCCAUUGUGUUAUCUGUCCUGCUCUGUUUAAGUGAAUCAGGCAUCUGUCCGUGUGCCACAGUUCUGUUGUCACUGUUUUUUUCCCCGCAUCCACAAGAACCCAUUGAACAUACAGUAGAAUCACUUUCAGUCACACACACAUCCACACAAGGAUACCUAACCAUCCCUUUGGGAAAGGCUAUGUAUAUAAUCAGGCUUUUUCCACUAUCCUUAAUCCUUUUAUUUCUUUUUGCAUUCAUUUAAAAUCUUUUAAAUAAAGAAGUUUCUUCCCUUAAAGUCCAAAGUGCAUUUUAUAGCUGCAAAAGCAUGACAUAAAAAAAAUUCCGUGAUCUACAGAUGUGGUGAAAAAAUAUGUUUUAACUGACAUACACAAAUUUAAAACAUAAAGCAAUGUGCAAAUAGUGACACUUUAGGCUCACAGAUGGCAAUAGAAGUGGUGCCUGAAAUGUUUAAUUUUCUUUGUUGCAUCCUGCAGGAAAUUAAGUAGCAACCACAAUGUGUUUCACCCUGGUCCCAAAACAAAACAGUGACACCAGGAAUAACCCCUUUUCAUUUGCAUGUUUUUAAAAUUCCUUUGAGUCAAUACAUCUAAAACAGAGUUCUGUAAUAAAGUUCUUGCACAUGCUCAUCUGGAUCAUAUUCAGUGUGGUUCAUUAUCCAAAGAAUGUUCUUGUUUUGUUGGAUUCUAAUGAAGAAAAUAACACUGUGCUUUUGUAAAACAAAGGCAUUGGGACCCGAUUCAUCAUAACACACUCAUGUAAACCUGCUGGGUCCAGAGGCCCCGAUCCUUGGGAAGAGUGAGAAACGGGAGCAAUGCUGCCCCCACAGUCACCACUCCCCCACACAUCCCAGCUAACAUUGCUCCGCAUCAACACCCAUGCGAUUAAGACAUUGAGGGCCUGACAAGGGGCCCUCCUUUGCUGACAAUAAAACAAUUAAGCCGUUUGCUGGGCAAGGGACAGGGAGUUCCGUCAACCUGUUCCUACAAAUGAGUCUCCUGUGGGAUGCUGAAUGAUUCUCAUUCCCCCCGCAGUCAAGCCGAACAGCUGGAGGUGCUGGCGGAAGCGGGAUUUGCGCUUGCUACCCGGCCAUCU
Clupea harengus (Atlantic herring) is the source of this 1923-nucleotide long non-coding RNA. Lineage: Eukaryota; Metazoa; Chordata; Actinopteri; Clupeiformes; Clupeidae. The record is from Ensembl.